UUUCGCAAUGCCCGAAAGGGUGACGAAGCGACGCCGCGUGGGUGAGGAAGGCCCUCGGGUUGUAAAGCCCUGUCAGGAGUUAAGAAAUGCAGGUGUGCUAAUAUCACACCUGCUUGACGAAGGCUCCAAAGGAAGUCACGGCUAACUCUGUGCCAGCAGCCGCGGUAAUACAGAGGUGGCAAGCGUUGUUCGGAAUUAUUGGGCGUAAAGAGCACGUAGGUGGGUUUGUAAGUCAGAUGUGAAAGCCUCCUGUUCAACGGGAGAAUUGCAUCUGAAACUACUGAUCUUGAGUGUAGGAGGGGAGAAUGGAACUUCUGGUGGAGCGGUGAAAUGCGUAGAUAUCAGAAGGAACGCCGGCGGCGAAAGCGAUUCUCUGGCCUAUUACUGACACUCAGUGUGCGAAAGCUAGGGGAGCAAACGGGAUUAGAUACCCCGGUAGUCCUAGCCGUAAACGAUGGGCACUAAGUAGAGGGGUUUUA
This 479-nucleotide ribosomal RNA is filed under the name uncultured bacterium. RNAcentral describes it as "bacterial SSU rRNA". It matches the Rfam family "Bacterial small subunit ribosomal RNA", at positions 364 to 833 of the family's 1533-position model. The record is from RNAcentral.